GGCGUAAAGAGCUCGUAGGUGGUUUGUCGCGUUGUUCGUGAAAACUCACAGCUUAACUGUGGGCGUGCGGGCGAUACGGGCAGACUAGAGUACUGCAGGGGAGACUGGAAUUCCUGGUGUAGCGGUGGAAUGCGCAGAUAUCAGGAGGAACACCGGUGGCGAAGGCGGGUCUCUGGGCAGUAACUGACGCUGAGGAGCGAAAGCGUGGGGAGCGAACAGGAUUAGAUACCCUGGUAGUCCACGCCGUAAACGGUGGGUACUAGGUGUGGGUUCCUUCCUUGGGAUCCGUGCCGUAGCUAACGCAUUAAGUACCCCGCCUGGGGAGUACGGCCGCAAGGCUAAAACUCAAAGGAAUUGACGGGGGCCCACACAAGCGGCGGAGCAUGUGGAUUAAUUCGAUGCAACGCGAAGAACCUUACCUGGGUUUGACAUGCACAGGACGCUGGUAGAGAUAUCAGUUCCCUUGUGGCCUGUGUGCAGGUGGUGCAUGGCUGUCGUCAGCUCGUGUCGUGAGAUGUUGGGUUAAGUCCCGCAACGAGCGCAACCCCUAUCUUAUGUUGCCAGCGCGUUAUGGCGGGGACUCGUAAGAGACUGCCGGGGUCAACUCGGAGGAAGGUGGGGAUGACGUCAAGUCAUCAUGCCCCUUAUGUCCAGGGCUUCACACAUGCUACAAUGGCCGGUACAAAGGGCUGCGAAUCCGCGAGGUGGAGCGAAUCCCUUGAAAGCCGGUCUCAGUUCGGAUCGGGGUCUGCAACUCGACCCCGUGAAGUUGGAGUC
This 777-nucleotide ribosomal RNA is filed under the name uncultured Mycobacterium sp. RNAcentral's name for it is "bacterial SSU rRNA". It matches the Rfam family "Bacterial small subunit ribosomal RNA", at positions 557 to 1333 of the family's 1533-position model. Lineage: Bacteria; Bacillati; Actinomycetota; Actinomycetes; Mycobacteriales; Mycobacteriaceae. The record is from RNAcentral.